This 496-nucleotide ribosomal RNA is filed under the name uncultured bacterium. Its description in RNAcentral is "partial 16S ribosomal RNA". It matches the Rfam family "Bacterial small subunit ribosomal RNA", at positions 29 to 507 of the family's 1533-position model. The record is from RNAcentral.
AUGAACGCUGGCGGCGUGCCUAAUACAUGCAAGUCGAGCGAACAGACGAGGAGCUUGCUCCUCUGACGUUAGCGGCGGACGGGUGAGUAACACGUGGAUAACCUACCUAUAAGACUGGGAUAACUUCGGGAAACCGGAGCUAAUACCGGAUAAUAUAUUGAACCGCAUGGUUCAAUAGUGAAAGACGGUUUUGCUGUCACUUAUAGAUGGAUCCGCGCCGCAUUAGCUAGUUGGUAAGGUAACGGCUUACCAAGGCAACGAUGCGUAGCCGACCUGAGAGGGUGAUCGGCCACACUGGAACUGAGACACGGUCCAGACUCCUACGGGAGGCAGCAGUAGGGAAUCUUCCGCAAAGGGCGAAAGCCUGACGGAGCAACGCCGCGUGAGUGAUGAAGGUCUUCGGAUCGUAAAACUCUGUUAUUAGGGAAGAACGAAUGUGUAAGUAACUAUGCACGUCUUGACGGUACCUAAUCAGAAAGCCACGGCUAACUACGUG